RNAcentral lists this ribosomal RNA (270 nucleotides) under uncultured bacterium. Its description in RNAcentral is "partial 16S ribosomal RNA". It matches the Rfam family "Bacterial small subunit ribosomal RNA", at positions 87 to 354 of the family's 1533-position model. The record is from RNAcentral.
CGCGGCGACCGGCGCACGGGUGAGUAACACGUAUGCGACCUGCCCCCGCAGGGGAGUAACCGGGAGAAAUCCCGACUAAUACCGCGUAACGCCGCGGACCUGCAUGGGUCUGCGGCCAAAGGAAGCGAUUCCGGCGGGGGAUGGGCAUGCGGCGCAUUAGCUAGUCGGCGGGGUAACGGCCCACCGAGGCGACGAUGCGUAGGGGUUCUGAGAGGAAGGUCCCCCACACUGGUACUGAGACACGGACCAGACUCCUACGGAAGGCAGCAG